UGCAACUCGCCUGCAUGAAGUCGGAAUUGCUAGUAAUCGCAGAUCAGCAUGCUGCGGUGAAUACGUUCCCGGGCCUUGUACACACCGCCCGUCACACCAUGGGAGUCGGUAACACCCGAAGUCGGUAGCCUAACCGUAAGGAGGGCGCCGCCGAAGGUGGGAUUGAUGACUGGGGUGAAGUCGUAACAAGGUAUC
RNAcentral lists this ribosomal RNA (195 nucleotides) under uncultured bacterium. RNAcentral describes it as "partial 16S ribosomal RNA". It matches the Rfam family "Bacterial small subunit ribosomal RNA", at positions 1306 to 1500 of the family's 1533-position model. The record is from RNAcentral.